RNAcentral lists this ribosomal RNA (522 nucleotides) under uncultured microorganism. RNAcentral's name for it is "bacterial SSU rRNA". It matches the Rfam family "Bacterial small subunit ribosomal RNA", at positions 9 to 524 of the family's 1533-position model. The record is from RNAcentral.
GAGUUUGAUCGUGGCUCAGGAUGAACGCUAGCGGCAGGCUUAACACAUGCCAAGUCGAGGGGCAUCGGGAGGGAAGCUUGCUUUCCUUGCCGGCGACCGGCGCACGGGUGAGUAACACGUAUGCAACCUGCCCUCUUCAGGGGGACAACCUUCCGAAAGGGAGGCUAAUCCCGCGUAUAUCGGUUUCGGGCAUCCGUUAUCGAGGAAAGAUUCAUCGGAAGAGGAUGGGCAUGCGGCGCAUUAGCUAGACGGCGGGUAACGGCCCACCGUGGCGACGAUGCGUAGGGGUUCUGAGAGGAAGGUCCCCCACACUGGUACUGAGACACGGACCAGACUCCUACGGGAGGCAGCAGUGAGGAAUAUUGGUCAAUGGGAGAGAUCCUGAACCAGCCAAGCCGCGUGAGGGAAGACGGCCCUAUGGUUGUAAACCUCUUUGUCGGAGAACAAAACCCGGACGAGUCCCGGACUGCGUGUAUCCGAAGAAAAAGCAUCGGCUAACUCCGUGCCAGCCGCCGCCGUAAU